Molecule: ribosomal RNA, 460 nt
Filed under: uncultured bacterium
Lineage: Bacteria
Description: partial 16S ribosomal RNA
Rfam family: Bacterial small subunit ribosomal RNA
Source: RNAcentral
CCUACGGGAGGCAGCAGUGAGGAAUAUUGGUCAAUGGACGAGAGUCUGAACCAGCCAAGUAGCGUGAAGGAUGACUGCCCUAUGGGUUGUAAACUUCUUUUAUAUGGGAAUAAAACGUUCCACGUGUGGGAUUUUGUAUGUACCAUAUGAAUAAGGAUAGGCUAACUCCGUGCCAGCAGCCGCGGUAAUACGUAGGAUCCGAGCGUUAUCCGGAUUGAUAGGGUUUAAAGGGAGCGUAGGUGGAUUGUUAAGUCAGUUGUGAAAGUUUGCGGCUCAACCGUAAAAUUGCAGUUGAAACUGGCAGUCUUGAGUACAGUAGAGGUGGGCGGAAGUCGUGGUGUAGCGGUGAAAUGCUUAGAUAUCACGAAGAACUCCGAUUGCGAAGGCAGUUCACUGGACUGCAACUGACACUGAGGCUCGAAAGUGUGGGUAUCAAACAGGAUUAGAUACCCUUGUAGUC